GAUGAACGCUGGCGGCGUGCCUAAUACAUGCAAGUCGAGCGAACAGACGCGGAGCUUGCUCCUCUGACGUUAGCCGCGGACGGGUGAGUAACACGUGGAUCACCUACCUAUAAGACUGGGAUCACUUCGGGAAACCGGAUCUAAUACCGGAUAAUAUCUUGAACCGCAUGGUUCAAUAGUGAAAGACGGUUUUGCUGUCACUUAUAGAUGGAUCCGCGCCGCAUUAGCUAGUUGUUAAGGUAACGGCUUACCAAGGCUACGAUGCGUAGCCGACCUGAGAGAGUGGUAGGCCGCACUGGAACUGGGACGCGGUCCAGAGUACUACGGUAGGCAGCAGUAGGGUAUGGUACGCAAUGGGCGAAAGCCUGACGGAGCAAGGCGGAGCGAGAGAUGACGGUCUUGCGAUCGUAAUGCUGUGUUAUUAGGUAAGAACAAAUGUCGAAGUAACUAUGGACGGCGUGACGGUACCUAAUCAGAAAGCCACGGCUAACUACGUG
This 497-nucleotide ribosomal RNA is filed under the name uncultured bacterium. RNAcentral describes it as "partial 16S ribosomal RNA". It matches the Rfam family "Bacterial small subunit ribosomal RNA", at positions 28 to 507 of the family's 1533-position model. The record is from RNAcentral.